GGAGAGGUGGCAGAGUGGUUGAUUGCGGCGGUCUCGAAAACCGCUAGGAGUGCAAGCUCCUCGAGGGUUCGAAUCCCUCCCUCUCCG
Transfer RNA from Halothece sp. PCC 7418, 87 nucleotides. It matches the Rfam family "tRNA". Rfam says of the family: Transfer RNA (tRNA) molecules are approximately 80 nucleotides in length. The record is from Rfam. NCBI's taxonomy places the organism in Bacteria, Bacillati, Cyanobacteriota, Cyanophyceae, Chroococcales, Halothecacae.